This 362-nucleotide ribosomal RNA is filed under the name Libinia dubia. RNAcentral describes it as "partial 12S ribosomal RNA". RNAcentral also lists the same sequence under 1 other name. The record is from RNAcentral. Lineage: Eukaryota; Metazoa; Arthropoda; Malacostraca; Decapoda; Majidae.
UACUAUACUAAAAAUCUAAUGAAACUAGAAUAUUAUAAGGUAAGGCCUUUAAAUUUAAAGAAUUUGGCGGUAAUUUAGUCUAUCCAGAGGAACCUGUUUUGUAAUCGAUAAACCACGAAGAAUCUUACUUGUUUGUGUUUAAGUUAUAAGUUUGUAUACCGUCAUUAUUAGAUAAUAUUUGGAGAUAAUUAUUAGAUUUUAAAUAAUAAAAUAAAUUAGAUCAAGGUGCAGCCUAUGAAUAAGUAAAAAUGGGUUACAAUUAAGUUUAUAUAAUAUGAAAUAAUGUUUGAAAUGAAUAUUAGGAAGGAGGAUUUGGUUGUAAUGGUGAUUAACAAGAUAAAAAGAUAUAAGCUCUAAAUUAU